This 253-nucleotide unclassified non-coding RNA is filed under the name Borreliella sp. Ir-4721. Lineage: Bacteria; Pseudomonadati; Spirochaetota; Spirochaetia; Spirochaetales; Borreliaceae. The record is from RNAcentral.
CUGCGAGUUCGCGGGAGAGUAGGUUAUUGCCAGGGUUUUUGUUUUUAUGCUUUUGACUUUGAUUUUAUUUUUGCGUUUUUAAAUAUUAGUGUUUUUGAAUGUGUUAUUUAAAUAACAUAAAAAAUGAAAUAUAUAUUGACAUGUAUUAAACAAAGAUAUAUAUUACUUUAUGUUGCAUAAACAAAUUGGCAAAAUAGAGAUGGAAGAUAAAAAUAUGGUCAAAGUAAUAAGAGUCUAUGGUGAAUGCCUAGGA